RNAcentral lists this ribosomal RNA (252 nucleotides) under uncultured bacterium. Its description in RNAcentral is "partial 16S ribosomal RNA". It matches the Rfam family "Bacterial small subunit ribosomal RNA", at positions 524 to 776 of the family's 1533-position model. The record is from RNAcentral.
UACGGAGGAUGCGAGCGUUAUCCGGAUUUAUUGGGUUUAAAGGGUGCGUAGGCGGAUCGUUAAGUCAGUGGUCAAAUCGAGGGGCUCAACCCCUUCCCGCCAUUGAAACUGGCGAUCUUGAGUGGAAGAGAAGUAUGCGGAAUGCGUGGUGUAGCGGUGAAGUGCAUAGAUAUCACGCAGAACCCCGAUUGCGAAGGCAGCAUGCCGGCUUCCUACUGACGCUGAAGCACGAAAGCGUGGGGAUCGAACAGG